This 253-nucleotide ribosomal RNA is filed under the name uncultured bacterium. RNAcentral's name for it is "partial 16S ribosomal RNA". It matches the Rfam family "Bacterial small subunit ribosomal RNA", at positions 524 to 776 of the family's 1533-position model. The record is from RNAcentral.
UACGAAGGGUGCAAACGUUGCUCGGAAUUAUUGGGCGUAAAGCGCACGUAGGCGGCUUUGCAAGUCCCAUGUGAAAUCCCACGGCUCAACCGUGGAAGUGCAUGGGAAACUGCAGAGCUUGAGUACUUAAGAGGAUCGCGGAAUUCCCGGUGUAGAGGUGAAAUUCGUAGAUAUCGGGAGGAACACCAGUGGCGAAGGCGGCGAUCUGGGAAGAUACUGACGCUGAUGCACGAAAGCGUGGGGAGCAAACAGG